UGACAAUACAACUCAAGUGGAGUCUUCAUUCUCGCCAAUACUGCAAAUGGAAAAUCUGGCAUGCACAAUGGGAAAGAUGUUGUUAUCCUUCUACUGAUCUGUGAUACACUGGGAUUGAAUCAAGUAUCAUUUCACUAGUGCUCUAUCAAAUGCAAGAUAGCUAAACAACAAACAAAGGUUCCAGUCAUCCCAGAAACACAGCACUAAACUUUCCAUGACCUGCUGGAGAUCAAAUAAAAACACUGCAAAUGAACAAAAUCUAAAAUUAAAGGACAACAUCUCAUGGAAAUGCAACCGGGGAAACCAUCAGUCAACAAGAACUUAAAUAUCUACAAAUUCUGCCACCACUGCAGAUACCAGUCAACGAUUAAAUAACUUGUUCACGGGUUGAAAAAUCUAAUGUCUGAAGAACACUUAAGAAAUUAUAUGCUGUGUUGUCUUUAUUAUUCCUGUCUGAAUAGGACACUUUUUUCUUGAAACUUAUUGCUUACAUUUCUGUAUGAUGUCAUGCUUUUCUCUGUUUUUGAGGUGAGUAGGUAAUAAAAGUUGUCUUCCAAUCAAAACGUUUUUAAUUGGUUUCUUAAUUUUGAUGAGCACUACAUUUUAAUUGAAGUGUCAUAGCUGAAUGCUAAAAUGAAAUAAAAUAUUUGUUUUGACUGAGUCUCUGAGAGGGGUUUUAAAAGAGGGGAGCCAAUCCACCCUUUCUAACCUGGUCAUACCAAGUUAGUACAUGGACUUUAGUUAGAAGGCUGUUUAUCUCAACUCCUAAUGUUUUUUUGUCACUUUGUAAUAAAGUAAAAUCAUAUCAAUGUUGGUUGAACCAUACCUGGAAUGCUGAAUUCUGUUCAGGUUUCUGUUAUAAGGAACUGAUAUCCAGGCACUGAACUUUGUGAGGAAAAUAAUUCACUAAUGAUAGCAGAAUGUGAAGUUGUAUCCACCAGGGAAAAAAAAAUAAACAGGCUGGGGUCUGUCUGCUCCUGAAAAGUCAUCAUGUAGUGGA
Chiloscyllium plagiosum (whitespotted bambooshark) is the source of this 1000-nucleotide non-coding RNA. NCBI's taxonomy places the organism in Eukaryota, Metazoa, Chordata, Chondrichthyes, Orectolobiformes, Hemiscylliidae. The record is from RefSeq and is a predicted model, not a curated record.